Molecule: ribosomal RNA, 2810 nt
Filed under: Klebsiella pneumoniae
Lineage: Bacteria; Pseudomonadati; Pseudomonadota; Gammaproteobacteria; Enterobacterales; Enterobacteriaceae
Description: bacterial LSU rRNA
Rfam family: Bacterial large subunit ribosomal RNA
Source: RNAcentral
CCGGCGAUGUCCGAAUGGGGAAACCCAGUGCAAUUCGUUGCACUAUCGUUAACUGAAUACAUAGGUUAACGAGGCGAACCGGGGGAACUGAAACAUCUAAGUACCCCGAGGAAAAGAAAUCAACCGAGAUUCCCCCAGUAGCGGCGAGCGAACGGGGAGCAGCCCAGAGUCUGAAUCAGCUUGUGUGUUAGUGGAACGGUCUGGAAAGUCCGACGGUACAGGGUGAUAGUCCCGUACACCAAAAUGCACAGGCUGUGAACUCGAAGAGUAGGGCGGGACACGUGGUAUCCUGUCUGAAUAUGGGGGGACCAUCCUCCAAGGCUAAAUACUCCUGACUGACCGAUAGUGAACCAGUACCGUGAGGGAAAGGCGAAAAGAACCCCGGCGAGGGGAGUGAAAAAGAACCUGAAACCGUGUACGUACAAGCAGUGGGAGCACCUUCGGGUGUGACUGCGUACCUUUUGUAUAAUGGGUCAGCGACUUAUAUUCUGUAGCAAGGUUAACCGUAUAGGGGAGCCGCAGGGAAACCGAGUCUUAACUGGGCGUUAAGUUGCAGGGUAUAGACCCGAAACCCGGUGAUCUAGCCAUGGGCAGGUUGAAGGUUGGGUAACACUAACUGGAGGACCGAACCGACUAAUGUUGAAAAAUUAGCGGAUGACUUGUGGCUGGGGGUGAAAGGCCAAUCAAACCGGGAGAUAGCUGGUUCUCCCCGAAAGCUAUUUAGGUAGCGCCUCGUGAAUUCAUCUUCGGGGGUAGAGCACUGUUUCGGCUAGGGGGUCAUCCCGACUUACCAACCCGAUGCAAACUACGAAUACCGAAGAAUGUUAUCACGGGAGACACACGGCGGGUGCUAACGUCCGUCGUGAAGAGGGAAACAACCCAGACCGCCAGCUAAGGUCCCAAAGUCAUGGUUAAGUGGGAAACGAUGUGGGAAGGCACAGACAGCCAGGAUGUUGGCUUAGAAGCAGCCAUCAUUUAAAGAAAGCGUAAUAGCUCACUGGUCGAGUCGGCCUGCGCGGAAGAUGUAACGGGGCUAAACCAUGCACCGAAGCUGCGGCAGCGACACUAUGUGUUGUUGGGUAGGGGAGCGUUCUGUAAGCCUGCGAAGGUGGCCUGUGAGGGUUGCUGGAGGUAUCAGAAGUGCGAAUGCUGACAUAAGUAACGAUAAAGCGGGUGAAAAGCCCGCUCGCCGGAAGACCAAGGGUUCCUGUCCAACGUUAAUCGGGGCAGGGUGAGUCGACCCCUAAGGCGAGGCCGAAAGGCGUAGUCGAUGGGAAACAGGUUAAUAUUCCUGUACUUGGUGUUACUGCGAAGGGGGGACGGAGAAGGCUAUGUUAGCCGGGCGACGGUUGUCCCGGUUUAAGCAUGUAGGCUGGUUGUCCAGGCAAAUCCGGAUAAUCAAGGCUGAGGUGUGAUGACGAGGCACUACGGUGCUGAAGUAACAAAUGCCCUGCUUCCAGGAAAAGCCUCUAAGCAUCAGGUAACAUUAAAUCGUACCCCAAACCGACACAGGUGGUCAGGUAGAGAAUACCAAGGCGCUUGAGAGAACUCGGGUGAAGGAACUAGGCAAAAUGGUGCCGUAACUUCGGGAGAAGGCACGCUGGUGUGUAGGUGAAGCCCCUGCGGGUGGAGCUGAGACCAGUCGAAGAUACCAGCUGGCUGCAACUGUUUAUUAAAAACACAGCACUGUGCAAACACGAAAGUGGACGUAUACGGUGUGACGCCUGCCCGGUGCCGGAAGGUUAAUUGAUGGGGUUAUCCGUAAGGAGAAGCUCUUGAUCGAAGCCCCGGUAAACGGCGGCCGUAACUAUAACGGUCCUAAGGUAGCGAAAUUCCUUGUCGGGUAAGUUCCGACCUGCACGAAUGGCGUAAUGAUGGCCAGGCUGUCUCCACCCGAGACUCAGUGAAAUUGAACUCGCUGUGAAGAUGCAGUGUACCCGCGGCAAGACGGAAAGACCCCGUGAACCUUUACUAUAGCUUGACACUGAACAUUGAGCCUUGAUGUGUAGGAUAGGUGGGAGGCUUUGAAGCGUGGACGCCAGUCUGCGUGGAGCCAACCUUGAAAUACCACCCUUUAAUGUUUGAUGUUCUAACGUUGGCCCCUGACCGGGGUUGCGGACAGUGUCUGGUGGGUAGUUUGACUGGGGCGGUCUCCUCCCAAAGCGUAACGGAGGAGCACGAAGGUUAGCUAAUCCUGGUCGGACAUCAGGAGGUUAGUGCAAUGGCAUAAGCUAGCUUGACUGCGAGCGUGACGGCGCGAGCAGGUGCGAAAGCAGGUCAUAGUGAUCCGGUGGUUCUGAAUGGAAGGGCCAUCGCUCAACGGAUAAAAGGUACUCCGGGGAUAACAGGCUGAUACCGCCCAAGAGUUCAUAUCGACGGCGGUGUUUGGCACCUCGAUGUCGGCUCAUCACAUCCUGGGGCUGAAGUAGGUCCCAAGGGUAUGGCUGUUCGCCAUUUAAAGUGGUACGCGAGCUGGGUUUAGAACGUCGUGAGACAGUUCGGUCCCUAUCUGCCGUGGGCGCUGGAGAAUUGAGGGGGGCUGCUCCUAGUACGAGAGGACCGGAGUGGACGCAUCACUGGUGUUCGGGUUGUCAUGCCAAUGGCACUGCCCGGUAGCUAAAUGCGGAAGAGAUAAGUGCUGAAAGCAUCUAAGCACGAAACUUGCCCCGAGAUGAGUUCUCCCUGAGACUUUAAGUCUCCUGAAGGAACGUUAAAGACGAUGACGUUGAUAGGCCGGGUGUGUAAGCGCAGCGAUGCGUUGAGCUAACCGGUACUAAUGAACCGUGAGGCUUAACCUUACAACGCCGAAG